The sequence is a small RNA, 120 nucleotides long. It matches the Rfam family "Prevotella-2 RNA". The record is from Rfam.
UGGGUGGUGACACCCAUCAUAAAUAAAAUCCAUUCAGCAAUGAAUGGAGGUUUGUUUUAAUUAGUCGUUUGUGCGAGAGUUUGUGAAAACAAUCGCAUAUAAAAAUCUUAAAAGUUGAGU